RNAcentral lists this ribosomal RNA (468 nucleotides) under uncultured bacterium. RNAcentral describes it as "partial 16S ribosomal RNA". It matches the Rfam family "Bacterial small subunit ribosomal RNA", at positions 28 to 507 of the family's 1533-position model. The record is from RNAcentral.
GACGAACGCUGGCGGCGUGCUUAACACAUGCAAGUCGAACGGAAAGGCCCUGCGUUUGUGGGGUGCUCGAGUGGCGAACGGGUGAGUAACACGUGAGUAACCUGCCCUUGACUUUGGGAUAACUUCAGGAAACUGGGGCUAAUACCGGAUAGGAGCUCCUGCUGCAUGGGGGGGGUUGGAAAGUUUCGGCGGUUGUGGAUGGACUCGCGGCUUAUCAGCUUGUUGGUGGGGUAGUUGCUUACCAAGGCUUUGACGGAUAGCCGGCCUGGGAGGGUGACCGGCGACAUUGGGACUGAGAUACGGCCCAGACUGGUACGGGAGGCAGCAGUGGGGAGUAUUGCACAAUGGGCGGAAGCGUGAUGCAGCAACGCCGGGUGCGGGAUGACGGCCUUCGGGUUGUAAACCGCUUUCGCCUGUGACGAAGCGUGAGUGACGGUAAUGGGUAAAGAAGCACCGGCUAACUACGUG